AUUGAACGCUGGCGGCAGGCUUAACACAUGCAAGUCGAGCGCGAGGCGGACGGGUGAGUAAUGUCUGGGAAACUGCCUGAUGGAGGGGGAUAACUACUGGAAAAGGUAGCUAAUCACGCAUACCAUAAGCUGUGCACAGAUGGGAUUAGCUAGUAGGUGGGGUAAUGGCUCAACUAGGCGACGUGCCCUAGCUGGUCUGAGAGGAGGUCCUGCCACACUGGACCUGAGACACGGGCCAGACUCCUACGGUAGGAAGCAGUGGGGAAGAUGGCACAAUGGGCGCAAGCCUGAUGCAGCCAUGCAGCGUGUGUGAAGAAGGCCUUCGGGGUGUAAAGCACUUUCAGCGAGGAGGCUUUACUCGCAGAAGAAGCACCGGCUAACUCCGUGCCAGCAGACGCGGUAAUAC
This 406-nucleotide ribosomal RNA is filed under the name uncultured bacterium. RNAcentral describes it as "partial 16S ribosomal RNA". It matches the Rfam family "Bacterial small subunit ribosomal RNA", at positions 30 to 526 of the family's 1533-position model. The record is from RNAcentral.